AAGUCGUAACAAGGUAUCUGUAGGUGAACCUGCAGAUGGAUCAUUUCGAUGAAAACCUUUUUUCCGAGGUGUGGCUCGCACCUGUCCAACUAAACUUGAGCUACCCAACUUUUUCACACGGUUGCAUCGGUCGGCUGUCAAACAGUGCGGAAACGCGCUGGGAGGCGGACGGCACAAUCUAACAACACACUUUUGAUGAUCUAGGAUUUGAAAGAAAAAAGUUCAUUUUUUAAUGACGAAGCUCGACUGGUAAUGCGGUCGACUAAAUCUUAAAAACAACUUUUGGCAACGGAUCUCUUGGUUCUCC
RNAcentral lists this unclassified non-coding RNA (307 nucleotides) under fungal sp. RNAcentral's name for it is "partial internal transcribed spacer region". The stretch from base 1 to 46 matches the Rfam family "Eukaryotic small subunit ribosomal RNA", at positions 1786 to 1831 of the family's 1831-position model. Lineage: Eukaryota; Fungi. The record is from RNAcentral.